GGUUGUUCAGGAAAAGUUAGGAGUUCAAGCUGAGGCAGGUGAGGUUGCAGGGUCUCCAGAUCAGACUACUGAGGCUCGGUCUCCUUUAGAAGAUGGAAGUGGGAAGCAUAGCAAUAGGCCACAUCGGAUAUAUGCUACAGUGAAAGAGGGCAUCAAGGGAAAGAUUCUAUCUUUCCCAAAACCCCAGAACCACUACUCUCGGAUGAAGGGGGAUGUACACAGAGAAUACCUCAACCCUGAUCUGAAUUUGUUGCAAAUGUACCGACUCUACAAAGAGAAGAAUACCACAUCAUCUGCAAAAUUCUGGGUUUGUAGGGACAUUUUCAAACAGUCUCAAUUUCGGCCAACCCAGGAGUGACACCUGUGGCAAAUGUGAUGCAUUCUUCACUAAGAUGUCAGCAGCAACAUCUGAAGAGGAGAAGAGGAAGAUUGCAGUUGAACGUGAGUUGCACCAUCGAAAAGCCGAAAAGGCCGACACACAGCUUCAAAGUGACACUGAGUGGGCUAAAGCCAAUGCUGACUGCCAUGUCAUUUCUGUGGAUCUACAGGGGGUGAUGUACACCCCUAAUCAGUCCUUCAUACACCGGGGCGGCAGGGUACCCUAGUAACCGGAAGGUUGCAAGUUCAAAUCCCCGAGCUGACAAGGUACAAAUCUGUCGUUCUGCCCCUGAACACGCAGUUAACCCACUGUUCCUAGGCCGUCAUUGAAAAUAAGAAUUUGUUCUUAACUGACUUGCCUAGUUAAAUAAAGGUUAAAAAAAAUAUAUUUAAAAAAAUGAUGUUUCAAAGAUGAUACUUGAAGCACAACCAGCAAAACCAUUCAAGGUGAUGAGGAUGCAAUGUGAAGACUUCAGGCACCUCCCAGAUUAUGUCAUCAAGCGACCAGCUGGACUACAGACCACCUCAGUGAGGUGGUAAAAAGUCACAGUUGAGGAUCCUUGGAAUCUGUACGCCAGACAGAGCCACAGUCUAUUUGAGGGAUGGAAAUCGUGGCUGAUCUCCUAAACCAAAACAAGGAGCUACACCUCAACCUCCCUAUUUUGCAAGCCACUGCCCUGGAGCACAUGAGAGUCCUCUGCCCAUCAAAAAAACAAGUACCAAGAUCUGAUGACCUGUGCAACUACUUGCCAGCUGCUGCACACUCUUUUUAUAAAUCACUGCAGAGUGAAUCAUUUGUUGUUAAACCAAGCUACAUAAUUAACCGUUUUUUUUCUGUGAGUUUAUGAUCUCCUGAACCUGGUAUAGUAUGUUGAAUCUGAAUACAUUUCAGAAGACAUGUCACCCCUAUUGUAGGAAAUUAAAUGUAUAGUAGGUGCUUUCUAUGUGAAUCCAUUUCUGUAUGAUUUGAACCAGCACAAUAUAUUGAAUUAAUUUAAUUUUAAGAUGUUGUUCCUCGUGUAGAAAAUGUUAUGUACAAUGUGUUCUGUUGAGACUUAUUUUGUGUGUGAUC
This is a long non-coding RNA of Oncorhynchus gorbuscha (pink salmon), 1450 nucleotides long. RefSeq lists it as uncharacterized. Lineage: Eukaryota; Metazoa; Chordata; Actinopteri; Salmoniformes; Salmonidae. The transcript is spliced from 3 exons. The record is from RefSeq and is a predicted model, not a curated record.